This is a long non-coding RNA of Rhea pennata, 306 nucleotides long. RefSeq lists it as uncharacterized. The transcript is spliced from 3 exons. The record is from RefSeq and is a predicted model, not a curated record. NCBI's taxonomy places the organism in Eukaryota, Metazoa, Chordata, Aves, Rheiformes, Rheidae.
CACCCACCAGGAAAGGACAUUUCGAGUCCAUUCGCGCUUAAAAGAUCCCCCUCCACCCCGACCCCCGGCUUUGAAAUAAUUUCAGUGAAACCAAGAUUUCCAGCUCCUUGGAUGGUACAGAGCCCUCCUUGGUGCAGCCAAGGGAGAACAAGUCACAGCAGGGGAUGAAGGACUACAGCUAAGGAAUUCCGCAGACUGAGGGAAAACUUGGGGAAAACCAUGCAGCAAAGUGACAGAUGUGAACACGGCUCCCGGGUCUCAGUGCACGUUCCUGGGGAAAAAAAAAAAAAAAAAAAAAAAAAAAAA